UACGGAGGGUGCGAGCGUUGUCCGGAAUCACUGGGCGUAAAGGGCGCGUAGGCGGCGCGGGAAGUCAUCGGUGAAAGUUCAGGGCUCAACUCUGAAUCGGCCGGUGAUACUCUCGUGCUUGAGCACUGUAGAGGCAGGCGGAAUUCCGGGUGUAGCGGUGGAAUGCGUAGAGAUCCGGAAGAACACCGGUGGCGAAGGCGGCCUGCUGGGCAGUUGCUGACACUGAGGCGCGACAGCGUGGGGAGCAAACAGG
Molecule: ribosomal RNA, 253 nt
Filed under: uncultured bacterium
Lineage: Bacteria
Description: partial 16S ribosomal RNA
Rfam family: Bacterial small subunit ribosomal RNA
Source: RNAcentral